GAGUAUACACGUGAAUACGGCAUUAAUGUUUGAACUAUCGCUAAUUUCAAAUGAUCUUCACCAUGCUAGUUAUAGUUAAUACGCUCUCUUUAACAUAUCAACUUUAAGUUAUUUCCUUCGGUUCCUGUCCCGUAUCAAAGCAUUUUGAUCUCCUGCUGAUAGUCCAUGCAGGAGGACAGUGCACUGCUGCUUUAUUUCCGUGAUGUUUCUCUUUUUUCCCCUAAUCAAACACUUGGCCACGUGGUGCUAUCACGACAAGUACAUAAGCUGCAGCUGCAUCGAAAAGUUUAAGUAUUUUCAAAAAUUUUCGGACUAAUGGAUCUAAUGUCUCUUUUCCAUUUUUCUAUCGUGCACUAAAAGCUACAUUCAACGGAGUAGCAUGUUAUUGUAUUCUGAAAUAUUCCCUAUCAUAGCGGCAUUUUCUCCGUCUCAUAUUCAGCACUCUUAAAAUGUUACUUGGUCUCAGUGUCAGUUAAGACCACAUUUUUCAUCAUAUCUCAUUUUUUAAUUUAAUCCUGUGGCUCAGGCACAAAUUUAACGAAAAUUAAAUUCCUCAAUACAGCCGUGCGGUAAAUAAAAGUCCAAUCGUGAUUUCAUUUUUCAUUUUCUGUUGUCAGUGUCAAGAAUCAGUUCAAAGCUCUAUUUAUGCAUCUAAUGGUGUGAUUCUUUACAUAAUAUUUUAAAAGAAAUGCUGGAACUGGGAAAUCUGUUUGAUUCACAAAUACCUCGGGUAGAUGAAGGUGAAUUUCAGUCGUCAGCAUAAAUAAGAUGACAAUCCAAGAAAGUUAUGUCCAAAUUACAAUUUGGACUUAAAUGUUUAAUCAUUUGUGCGAUUAAUUUCAAACCUAUUCGAUUAUUAUCAGCUCACCAAAAUAAGUCAAGUUUGCAAAAUGAGCGGGGUCAGCAGUCACUGUCGUCAUCUGAAUGUACAUCUUUCCAAAACAUCCGCCAUGACCCCUCAUUCGUUGACAAGACUGGCUUCAUCAAGGUCUUUCUGGAGCAGUCGGACGAACAUGUUUACACCAUGGCCCCAGCCGGGUUCGGCAAGAGUCACCUGAUAGAUAUGCUCGACCUCUUCUUAGCUUCCCCAACCGUCCACAACGCAUCCACUCAUGCACCAUCCACCCAGGAUUACAAUCUCUUCAAUGGAACCGAAAUUCAUCGAAAUACCGCGUUUUUCAACCGCCACGUCCAGCAGUACCAGGUCAUCCGCAUGGACUGCCACCCCUACCGCCAGGUGAAGGACUUCGAAUCCUUCAGACGCAUCCACUGCCACGCCAUCUGCCGGCUGAUGUCCAGACACACUUACCUCCGAAACACGAAAUCCAACUUCUCAUGGCUUCAAUACAUGGACAAUGAUGAGAAGUGUUCGACUUACUGUGCCUUCAACUUCGACCAGAUCGACUACGCAUGUCGCGACCUCUCGCGGCAACUUGCGGAAGCCUCGCCAACAAACCAGUUGUCCUUCUCGUCGACGCGUACGACUCUGUAUUCCACGCGAUGGUUGAUCACGACGUCGAUGUCGCUAGAGAAGUUUUAA
This 1540-nucleotide long non-coding RNA is filed under the name Bemisia tabaci. Its description in RNAcentral is "lncRNA ENSSSA3NGG003244". The record is from RNAcentral. Lineage: Eukaryota; Metazoa; Arthropoda; Insecta; Hemiptera; Aleyrodidae.